Molecule: ribosomal RNA, 406 nt
Filed under: uncultured bacterium
Lineage: Bacteria
Description: partial 16S ribosomal RNA
Rfam family: Bacterial small subunit ribosomal RNA
Source: RNAcentral
AUUGAACGCUGGCGGCAGGCCUAACACAUGCAAGUCGAGCGAGCGGCGGACGGGUGAGUAAUGUAUGUGGAACUGCCCGAUAGAGGGGGAUAACUCCUGGAAACGGUAGCUAAUACCGCAUACUAUCAGAUGUGCCCAUAUGGGAUUAGCUCGUGGGUGGGGUAAUGGCUCACCAAGGCGACGAUCCCUAGCUGGUCUGAGAGGAGGAGCAGCCACAAUUGGAAUGAGACACGGUCCAGACUCCUACGGGAGGCAGCAGUGGGGAAUAUUGCACAAUGGGCGCAAGCCUGAUGCAGCCAUGCCGCGUGUAUGAAGAAGGCCCUAGGGUUGUAAAGUACUUUCAGUCGGGAGGCGUUACCGGCAGAAGAAGCACCGGCUAACUCCGUGCCAGCAGCCGCGGUAAUUC